RNAcentral lists this transfer RNA (78 nucleotides) under Clostridiaceae bacterium HSG29. RNAcentral's name for it is "tRNA-Ile". It matches the Rfam family "tRNA". Rfam says of the family: Transfer RNA (tRNA) molecules are approximately 80 nucleotides in length. Their secondary structure includes four short double-helical elements and three loops (D, anti-codon, and T loops). The record is from RNAcentral. RNAcentral also lists the same sequence under 1 other name. Lineage: Bacteria; Bacillati; Bacillota; Clostridia; Eubacteriales; Clostridiaceae.
GGGCGUAUAGCUCAGCUUGGUUAGAGCGCACGCCUGAUAAGCGUGAGGUCGGUGGUUCGAGUCCACCUAUGCCCACCA